This 331-nucleotide unclassified non-coding RNA is filed under the name soil metagenome. RNAcentral's name for it is "partial contains 5.8S ribosomal RNA, internal transcribed spacer 2, and large subunit ribosomal RNA". The stretch from base 1 to 120 matches the Rfam family "5.8S ribosomal RNA", at positions 35 to 154 of the family's 154-position model. The record is from RNAcentral.
GAUGAAGAACGCAGCGAAAUGCGAUAAGUAAUGUGAAUUGCAGAAUUCAGUGAAUCAUCGAAUCUUUGAACGCACAUUGCGCCCCCUGGUAUUCCGGGGGGCAUGCCUGUUCGAGCGUCAUUUCACCACUCAAGCCUCGCUUGGUAUUGGGCAUCGCGGUCCGCCGCGCGCCUCAAAUCGACCGGCUGGGUCUUCUGUCCCCUAAGCGUUGUGGAAACUAUUCGCUAAAGGGUGUUCGGGAGGCUACGCCGUAAAACAACCCCAUUUCUAAGGUUGACCUCGGAUCAGGUAGGGAUACCCGCUGAACUUAGGCAUAUCAAUAAGCGGAGGA